This 405-nucleotide ribosomal RNA is filed under the name uncultured bacterium. RNAcentral describes it as "partial 16S ribosomal RNA". It matches the Rfam family "Bacterial small subunit ribosomal RNA", at positions 30 to 526 of the family's 1533-position model. The record is from RNAcentral.
AUUGAACGCUGGCGGCAGGCUUAACACAUGCAAGUCGAACGAGUGGCGGACGGGUGAGUAAUGCUUGGGAAUCUAGCUUAUGGAGGGGGAUAACUACGGGAAACUGUAGCUAAUACCGCGUACCAAAGGAUGAGCCCAAGUGGGAUUAGGUGGUUGGUGAGGUAAGGGCUCGCCAAGCCGACGAACUCUAGCUGGUCUGAGAGGAUGACCAGCAACACUGGGACUGAGACACGGCCAAGCUCCCUACGGUAGGCAGCAGUGGGGAAUAUUGCGCAAUGGGGGCAACCUGACGCAGCCAUGCCGCGUGAAUGAAGAAGGCCUUCGGGUUGUAAAGUUCUUUCGGUAGCGAUGCGUUACCUACAGAAGAAGCACCGGCUAACUCCGUGCCAGCAGCCGCGGUAAUAC